Molecule: unclassified non-coding RNA, 271 nt
Filed under: uncultured fungus
Lineage: Eukaryota; Fungi
Description: partial contains 5.8S ribosomal RNA, internal transcribed spacer 2, and large subunit ribosomal RNA
Rfam family: 5.8S ribosomal RNA (bases 1-52)
Source: RNAcentral
AACGCACAUUGCGCCCGCCAGUAUUCUGGCGGGCAUGCCUGUUCGAGCGUCAUUUCAACCCUCAGUCCCCCCAGGGGGACUGGCGUUGGGGGACGGCCCCUCCCGGCCGCCCCCGAAAUGCAGUGGCGACCCCGCCGCAGCCUCCCCUGCGUAGUAGCUGUACACGACUUCGUGGAAAACCUCGCACCGGAGAGCGGCGCUGCUCGGCCGUGAAACCCCAACUUUCUGAAAGGUUGACCUCGGAUCAGGUAGGAAUACCCGCUGAACUUAA